This 63-nucleotide transfer RNA is filed under the name Pylorgus porrectus. RNAcentral's name for it is "tRNA-Pro". Lineage: Eukaryota; Metazoa; Arthropoda; Insecta; Hemiptera; Lygaeidae. The record is from RNAcentral.
CAGUGAAUAGUUUAUUAAAAUAUUAAUUUUGGAGAUUGAAGAUAGGAUUAUUCCUUUCGCUGA